Molecule: ribosomal RNA, 331 nt
Filed under: uncultured archaeon
Lineage: Archaea
Description: bacterial SSU rRNA
Rfam family: Archaeal small subunit ribosomal RNA
Source: RNAcentral
ACCGUCGACAGUCAGGUAACGAGCGAGACCCCUGCGUCUAGUUGCUACCAUUACUCUCUGGAGCAGUGGAGCGAAUUAGACGGACCGCCACAGUUAAUGUGGAGGAAGGAAGGGGCCACGGCAGGUCAGUAUGCCCCGAAACCCUAGGGCAACACGCGGGCUGCAAUGGUAUUGACAAUGUGUUCCGAAUCCGAAAGGAGGAGGCAAUCAUCAAACAAUAUCUCAGUUAUGACUGAGGGCUGUAACUCGCCCUCACGAAUAUGGAAUCCCUAGUAACCGCGCGUCACUACCGCGCGGUGAAUACGUCCCUGCUCCUUGCACGAAUUCGCCG